GCGGGGUGGAAAUGGGGGGGAAGGGGGAGGGCAUGGGGGGGUGAGGAUUGGAGGGGAGGAAGGGGGGGGGAUCGGGGAGACCCCCACGGACUGGAUACUGCCCCCAUCACCCGUGGAUCUGAGCAGGAGCAUCGAGGAGGCGCUGAGGGGGGGGGCGGGUAGUGGGGGAAAUGGGGGCUGAGGGGUGAGGGGGGUGGCUGCCAUUGCGGGCAAUGGGUGCACGAGGGUCUGCUGCAAGGGAUGCAGAUGGGGCUGGUGCAAGGGAUGCAUUGGAGGGCAGUGGGGGUGAUGCAUGUGGGGCUGUUGCAAGGGAUGCAACUGGGGUUGGUGCAAGGGAUGCACUUGGUGCAAGGGAUGCAUUGGGGGGCAGUGGAAGUGAUGCACAUGGGUCUGGUGCAAGGGAUGGGGCAGCUGGGCCUGGUGCAAAUGAUGCAUGUGGGUCUGGUGCAAGGGGUGCAGCUGGAGUUGGUGCAAGGGAUGCAUUGAGGGGCAGUGGAAGUGAUGCACGUGGGGCUGGUGCAAGGGAUGCAGCUGGGAGUGGUGCAAGGGAUGCAAUGGGAGGUGGUGCAAGGGAUGGAGGUACUGGGCCUGGUGCAAGGGAUGCACUUGGUGCAAAGGAUGCACUGAGGGGCAGUGGAAGUGAUGCAUGUGGGGCUGGUGCAAGGGAUGCAGAUGGGGGUGGUGCAAGGGAUGCAGCUGGGAUUGGUGCAAGGGAUGCAUUGAGGGGCAGUGGAGGUGAUGCAUGUGGGGCUGGUGCAAGGGAUGCAUUGGGGGGUGGUGCAAGGGAUGCAUGUGGGUCUGGUGCAAAGGAUGGGGCAGCUGGGGUUGGUGCAAUGGAUGCACUUGGUGCAAAGGAUGCAGUGGGGGGCAGUGCAAGGGAUGCAAAUGGGGGUGCUGCAAGGGAUGCAUGUGGGUCUGGUGCAAGGGAUGCAGCUGGGAUUGGUGCAAGGGAUGCAUUGGAGGGCAGUGGAGGUGAUGCAUGUGGGGCUGGUGCAAGGGAUGCAUUGAGGGGUGGUGCAAGUGAUGCACAUGGGCCUGGUGCAAGGGAUGGUGCAGCUGGGCCUGGUGCAAAUGAUGCAUGUGGGUCUGGUGCAAGGGGUGCAGCUGGAGUUGGUGCAAGGGAUGCAUUGCAGGGUAGUGGGGGUGAUGCAGAUUGGGGUGGUGCAAGGGAUGGAGGUACUGGGCCUGGUGCAAGGGAUGCAGCUGGGACUGCUGCAAGGGAUGCAAUGGGAGGUGAUGCAAGGGAUGGAGGUACUGGGCCUGGUGCAAGGGAUGCAUUGGAGGGCAGUGGGGGUGAUGCAUGUGGGUCUGGUGCAAAGGAUGGUGCAGCUGGGACUGGUGCAAAGGAUGCGCUUGGUGCAAAGGAUGCACUGGAGGGCAGUGCAAGGGAUGCAAAUGGGGGUGCUGCAAGGGAUGCAUGUGGGUCUGGUGCAAGGGAUGGUGCAGCCGGGAUUGGUGCAAGGGAUGCACGUGGGGUUGGUGCAAGGGAUGCAUGUGGGUCUGGUGCAAGAGAUGCAGAAGGGAUUGGUGCAAGGGAUGCAUGUGGGGGUGCUGCAAGGGAUGCAAAUGGGGUUGGUGCAACUGGGGUUGGUGCAAGGGAUGCACACGGGAUUGGUGCAAGAGAUGCAGUGGGAGUCGGUGCAAGGGAUGCACCAGGGAUCCGUGCAAAUGAUGCACGUGAGAUUGGUGCAAGGGAUGGUGCAAAUGAGGUUGGUGCAAGGGAUGCAGGGGGUGUUGGUGCAAACAAUGCACGUGGGAUCGGUGCAAGAUACGCACGUGGGCCCGGUGCAGCCAAUGGUGCAUCUGUGCUCAGUGCAAACGACGCACGUGGCUCUGGUGCAAGGGAUGGUGCAGGGGCUGUUGGUGCAAGGGAUGCAAUGGAGGUCGGUGCAAAGCAUGCACGUGGCUCUGGUGCAAAUUGUGCACCACGGGAUGCAUCGUGGGAGGCACAGGCCAGCCUUGCACCAGGGAUUUGCACAAGUGUUGCACCAGAGCUGGAUGCAGGAGGAAGCUUUGCACGAGGCUCUUGCACAAGUGUUGCACCAGAGCUGGAUGCAAAUGGUGCAGGAGGGCCCCGUGCAAACCUUGCACAAGGGUCUUGCACAAGUGAUGCAGCAGAGCUGGGUGGAAAUGGUGCUGGAUGGCCCCGUGCAAGCUUUGCACCAGGCUCUUGCACAAGUGUUGCACCAGAGCUGGAUGGAAACAGUGCAUCAAGGCCUCGUGCAAGCUUUGCACCGGGCUCUUGCACAAGUGUUGCAGCAGAGCUGGUUGCAAAUGGUGCUGGAGGGCCUCGUGCAAACCUUGCACCAGGGUUUUGCACAAGCAUUGCAGCAGAGCUGGAUGGAAAUGGUGCUGGAGGGCCCAGUGCAAGCUUUACACCAGGCUCUUGCACAAGCACUGCAGCAGAGCUGGAUGCAUGCAGUGCACUGGGGCCCCGUGCAAGCUUUGCACCAGGCUCUUGCACAAUCAUUGCACGAGGAGCUGCAUCUCCCCCCGCCCCCAUUGCUGCCCCAUUGCGGGGGGGGGGUUGGUGCCCCCCCAGUGACACCAUUGAGCUGUGACCCACAGUUCACAAUUGGGGGGGGGCAGCGCUGAGACCCCCCCCCUCCCCCUUUAAUUACCCUAAUGACCCUCAUUAAUGACCCUCAUUAAUUAAUACCCAAAUGAGGGGGGACACAAAGCCCCCCCCCCCAAUGAAGCUCGCCCCAUAGAUCCGGGGGGCACUGGGGGCCCCCCAACGAUCUGCCCCCCAUAAUAAAGAGAAUGAAUGGAUGAAGGAUGAUGGUGUG
Molecule: long non-coding RNA, 2789 nt
Filed under: Coturnix japonica (Japanese quail)
Lineage: Eukaryota; Metazoa; Chordata; Aves; Galliformes; Phasianidae
Description: lncRNA (ENSCJPG00005001950.1)
Source: RNAcentral